Molecule: ribosomal RNA, 300 nt
Filed under: uncultured Collinsella sp.
Lineage: Bacteria; Bacillati; Actinomycetota; Coriobacteriia; Coriobacteriales; Coriobacteriaceae
Description: bacterial SSU rRNA
Rfam family: Bacterial small subunit ribosomal RNA
Source: RNAcentral
CCGUGUGCGGGGCCGGCGGCCGGUGUAAUGCGGAGGAUCGUCGGUUUAGCCGGAUUGUUUGGUUGUAAAUGGAGCGUAGUCGGGGGUUUAAGGCAUCUGUGAAAUGCCGUGGCCCAACCAUGGAACUGCAUUUGAAACUGGACCGCUUGAGAGUACAUAAGGAAGGCGGAAUUCGUGGUGUAGCGGUGAAAUGCAUAGAUAUCACGAAGAACUCCGAUUGCGAAGGCAGCUUUCCGGGGUACAUCUGACGCUGAAGCUCGAAAGUGCGGGAAUCAAACAGGAUUAGAUACCCUGGUAGUC